This 315-nucleotide ribosomal RNA is filed under the name uncultured eukaryote. Its description in RNAcentral is "partial 18S ribosomal RNA". It matches the Rfam family "Eukaryotic small subunit ribosomal RNA", at positions 1470 to 1796 of the family's 1831-position model. The record is from RNAcentral.
CCCUUAGACGUUCUGGGCCGCACGCGCGCUACACUGACCAGUGCAACAAGCAUCCGUCCUUGGCCGACAGGCUCGGGCAAUCUUUGAACGCUGGUCGUGAUGGGGAUAGACUUUUGCAAUUUUUGGUCUUCAACGAGGAAUUCCUAGUAAACGCAAGUCAUCAACUUGCAUUGAUUACGUCCCUGCCCUUUGUACACACCGCCCGUCGCACCUACCGAUUGAAUGGUCCGGUGAAGCCUCCGGAUUGGCGCGCACCUCGGUGCCGCCGAGAAGUUGGCUAAACCUUACCAUUUAGAGGAAGGUGGAGUCGUAACA